Molecule: ribosomal RNA, 460 nt
Filed under: uncultured bacterium
Lineage: Bacteria
Description: partial 16S ribosomal RNA
Rfam family: Bacterial small subunit ribosomal RNA
Source: RNAcentral
CCUACGGGUGGCAGCAGUGAGGAAUAUUGGUCAAUGGACGGAAGUCUGAACCAGCCAUGCCGCGUGCAGGAAGACGGCUCUAUGAGUUGUAAACUGCUUUUGUACAAGGGUAAACCUGAAUACGUGUAUUCAGCUGAAAGUACUGUACGAAUAAGGAUCGGCUAACUCCGUGCCAGCAGCCGCGGUAAUACGGAGGAUCCAAGCGUUAUCCGGAUUUAUUGGGUUUAAAGGGUGCGCAGGCGGAUUGAUAAGUUAGAGGUGAAAUGUCCGAGCUUAACUCGGGAACUGCAUCGAAUACUGUUGAUCGAGAGAGUAGAUGAGGGAGGCGGAAUGGAUGGUGUAGCGGUGAAAUGCUUAGAGAUCAUACAGAACACCGAUUGCGAAGGCAGCCUACCAAUCUAUAUCUGACGUUGAGGCACGAAAGCGUGGGGAGCAAACAGGAUUAGAUACCCUAGUAGUC